UACAACCCUGAGAUCAAGAGUCUCACACUCUUCUGAGCAAGUUUUGACAGUAUGGUUCUGCCACCAGCAACCACAUCUUCAGUGAAGAGAACUCCUCACAGAGGAGGGGCAAGUGGCUAGCCCUGCUUCACAAGGCAACUCUCAUAUAUUGCAGUGAAAAUGGGUUGCAUGCUUUAGAAAAUUCCACAGAACAUUCAAGGGAAAGACACUCACCUAAGCAAUCAAAGUAAAUGCUGAAUUGCA
Molecule: long non-coding RNA, 243 nt
Organism: Lontra canadensis (Northern American river otter)
Lineage: Eukaryota; Metazoa; Chordata; Mammalia; Carnivora; Mustelidae
Exons: 2
Source: RefSeq, a predicted model, not a curated record